UCUCAAACUUAGCAGAGAUGCUUUGGUGCCUUCGGGAACUCUGAGACAGGUGCUGCAUGGCUGUCGUCAGCUCGUGUUGUGAAAUGUUGGGUUAAGUCCCGCAACGAGCGCAACCCUUAUCCUUUGUUGCCAGCGGUUCGGCCGGGAACUCAAAGGAGACUGCCGGUGAUAAACCGGAGGAAGGUGGGGAUGACGUCAAGUCAUCAUGGCCCUUACGGCCAGGGCUACACACGUGCUACAAUGGCGCAUACAAAGAGAAGCGACCUCGCGAGAGCAAGCGGACCUCAUAAAGUGCGUCGUAGUCCGGAUUGGAGUCUGCAACUCGACUCCAUGAAGUCGGAAUCGCUAGUAAUCGUAGAUCAGAAUGCUACGGUGAAUACGUUCCCGGGCCUUGUACACACCGCCCGUCACACCAUGGGAGUGGGUUGCAAAAGAAGUAGGUAGCUUAACCUUCGGGAGGGCGCUUACCACUUUGUGAUUCAUGACUGGGGUGAAGUCGUAACAGGGUAAGCCGUA
Molecule: ribosomal RNA, 516 nt
Filed under: bacterium PH-EB031
Lineage: Bacteria
Description: bacterial SSU rRNA
Rfam family: Bacterial small subunit ribosomal RNA
Source: RNAcentral